RNAcentral lists this ribosomal RNA (779 nucleotides) under uncultured Neocallimastigales. RNAcentral's name for it is "partial large subunit ribosomal RNA". It matches the Rfam family "Eukaryotic large subunit ribosomal RNA", at positions 26 to 644 of the family's 3401-position model. Lineage: Eukaryota; Fungi; Neocallimastigomycota; Neocallimastigomycetes; Neocallimastigales. The record is from RNAcentral.
CGUCUAUAUACGUAUAGCAUAUCAAUAAGCGGAGGAAAAGAAACUAACUAGGAUUCCCUUAGUAACGGCGAGUGAAGCGGGAAGAGCUCAAAUUUGAAAUCUUCAAGGUUCUACCUUGACGAAUUGUAGUUUAUAAGAAGGUGUUUUCUGUUAGAUGAGUAGGCAAAAGUUCCUUUGGAAUAGGGACAUCAUAGAGGGUGAGAAUCCCGUAUUUGGUCAUUCCUCCUAGCUUUGUGAUACACUUUCAACGAGUCGGAUUGUUUGGGAAUGCAGUCCAAAAUGGGUGGUAAAUUUCAUCUAAAGCUAAAUAUUGGCGAGAGACCGAUAGCGAACAAGUACCGUGAGGGAAAGAUGAAAAGAACUUUGAAAAGAGAGUUAAACAGUACGUGAAAUUGUCAAAAGGGAAGCGUUUGACACCAGUGUUGUUUUUCCGAAAAUCAAUUAUCGAUGUUUUGUUUUUGAGGAGUGAUGACUUCAUCGGCUUGCUCUCUUCUUUACGAAACUUUCUUAAUGCACUUUUCGGUUAACAAGUCAACAUCAAUUUCUUUUGUUGUAAAAGAGUAUUCGGAAGGUGGCUUUCUUUUCGGAGAAAGUGUUUAUAGCCCUAUACUUCUACAAUCGGAGAGAUUGAGGUCUGCAGCGUAGAUCCUUCGGGGUUAGAUACAUUUGUGCUAAGCUAUAGCCUUGUAUAGACAACUUGUUGACUAUGAUCAGUCAUGUAGCUUACUCGCUUAUGCUAUUUUACCUACGCUUAGGAUGUUGACUGAUAUGUAGUCGUA